RNAcentral lists this ribosomal RNA (460 nucleotides) under uncultured bacterium. Its description in RNAcentral is "partial 16S ribosomal RNA". It matches the Rfam family "Bacterial small subunit ribosomal RNA", at positions 338 to 795 of the family's 1533-position model. The record is from RNAcentral.
CCUACGGGAGGCAGCAGUGAGGAAUAUUGGUCAAUGGACGCAAGUCUGAACCAGCCAUGCCGCGUGCAGGAAGACGGCUCUAUGAGUUGUAAACUGCUUUUGUACGAGGGUAAACGCAGAUACGUGUAUCUGUCUGAAAGUAUCGUACGAAUAAGGAUCGGCUAACUCCGUGCCAGCAGCCGCGGUAAUACGGAGGAUUCAAGCGUUAUCCGGAUUUAUUGAGUUUAAAGGGUGCGUAGGCGGUCGGAUAAGUUAGAGGUGAAAUCCCGGGGGUCAACCUCGGAAUUGCCUCUGAUACUGGUCGGCGAGAGAGGAGGUGCGGUAGGCGGAAUGUAUGGUGUAGCGGUGAAAUGCUUAGAGAUCAUACAGAACACCGAUUGCGAAGGCAGCUUACCAAGCUACUUCUGACGUUGAGGCACGAAAGCGUGGGGAGCAAACAGGAUUAGAUACCCGGGUAGUC